AGUAAUGUCUCGUGGAGGACCGAACUCACUAGCGUUGAAAAGCUAGGGGAUGAGCUGUGGAUAGCGGUGAAAUGCCAAUCGAACUCGGAGAUAGCUGGUUCUCCCCGAAAUGCCUUUAGGGGCAGCCUCGGGCGUUCAAUCACGAGGGUAGAGCACUGAAUGGGCUAGGGGGCUUCCCGCUUACCAACCCCAAUCAAACUCCGAAUCUCGUGAUUCCAGAGCCCGGGAGUGAGACUGCGAGGGCUAAGCUUCGUGGUCAAAAGGAAAACAGUCCGGACCGUCAGCUAAGGUCCCUAAAUCCAAGCUAAGUGGUAAAGGUUGUGGAGUCGCAUAGACAACCAGGAUGUUGGCUCAGAAGCAGCCAUCAUUGAAAGAGUGCGUAACAGCUCACUGGUCAAGUGAUCCUGCGCCGAAAAUUCAGCGGGGCUCAAGCUUGGUACCGAAGCUACGGAUUUGCCAGCCGGUUCGCCGGCUGGUGAGUGGUAGGGGAGCGUCCUGUUCGCUGCGAAGGUCGACCGUGAGGACGGCUGGAGCGGACGGGAGUGCGAAUGUCGGCAUGAGUAGCGAGAUGUGGGUGAGAAACCCACACGCCGUAAGCCUAAGGUUUCCUGAGGAAGGCUUGUCCGCUCAGGGUUAGUCGGGCCUAAGCCGAGGACGAAAGUCGUAGGCGAUGGACAUCCGGUUGAUAUUCCGGAACCACCAGAGAUCGUUUGCACCGCAAGGUGUCGCCUGGCAGAGGCGAUCCGUGGCUGGUCGGGCGCAAGUCCGAUCGAAGCGGUGAGCCGACCCCAGGUGAGAGCAAGGGCAUGACCCAGCAUGGUAGUUCGAGCGCGUUUUGGCUAUACGCGUCUAAGCCGGUAGGGGGAGUGGACAGGCAAAUCCGUCCGCUCAUCAACCCCGAGAAGCGAAUGAGAGCGGCAUCUGCUGCAAUUCGAGUGAGCCAAGCUGGCAAGAAAAGUGUCUAGCGAGAUCAAAGGUGUCCGUACCGUAAUCCGACACAGGUAGGCGGGUAGAGAAUACCAAGGCGAUCGGGAGAACCCUCGUUAAGGAACUCGGCAAAAUGGCCCCGUAACUUCGGGAGAAGGGGCGCCUCGCGACUCGUAGCUUGCUAUGGGUCGAUCGAGGCCACAGUGAAAUGGCCCAGGCGACUGUUUAGCAAAAACACAGGUCUGUGCGAAAGCGAAAGCUGACGUAUACGGGCUGACGCCUGCCCAGUGCCGGAAGGUUAAGAGGAGGGGUGCAAGCUCUGAAUCGAAGCCCCGGUAAACGGCGGCCGUAACUAUAACGGUCCUAAGGUAGCGAAAUUCCUUGUCGGGUAAGUUCCGACCCGCACGAAUGGCGUAACGAUCUGGGCGCUGUCUCAACGAGGGAUCCGGCGAAAUUGAAGUACCUGUGAAGAUGCAGGUUACCCGCGCUAGGGCAAAAAGACCCCGUGGAGCUUUACUGCACCCUGAUAUUGGAUUGGGGUUCAGCAUGUGUAGGAUAGGUGGGAGGCUGUGAAACUGGGGCGCUAGCCUCGGUGGAGCCGACGUUGAAAUACCACCCUUGUUGGAUUUCGGUUCUAACCGCGACCCGUGAUCCGGGCGCGGGACAGUGUCAGGCGGGCAGUUUGACUGGGGCGGUCGCCUCCUAAAGUGUAACGGAGGCGCCCAAAGGUUCCCUCAGGCUGAAUGGAAACCAGCCGUAGAGUGCAAAGGCAUAAGGGAGCUUGACUGCGAGACCCACAAGUCGAGCAGAGACGAAAGUCGGGCUUAGUGAUCUGGUACCUCCGAGUGGAAGGGGUAUCACUCAACGGAUAAAAGCUACCCCGGGGAUAACAGGCUGAUGGUGCCCAAGAGUUCACAUCGACGGCACCGUUUGGCACCUCGAUGUCGGCUCGUCGCAUCCUGGGGCUGAAGUAGGUCCCAAGGGUUUGGCUGUUCGCCAAUUAAAGCGGUACGCGAGCUGGGUUCAGAACGUCGUGAGACAGUUCGGUCCCUAUCUGCCAUGGGCGUUGGAGAUUUGAGAGGGGCUGCUCCUAGUACGAGAGGACGGAGUGGACGAACCGCUGGUGUGCCAGUUGUCCUGCCAAGGGCAUCGCUGGGUAGCUAUGUGCGGUCGGGAUAAGCACUGAAAGCAUCUAAGUGCGAAGCUCGCCUCAAGAUGAGGUUCCCCACCGGGUCAACCGGGUAAGACCGCAGGUAGACCACCUGUUUGAUAGGCGGCAUGUGGAAGUCGGGUGACCGGCGAAGCUGAGCCGUACUAAUGGUCGAGGGCUUGACCAC
Molecule: non-coding RNA, 2264 nt
Organism: Chloroflexi bacterium CSP1-4
Lineage: Bacteria; Bacillati; Chloroflexota
Source: Rfam